Molecule: ribosomal RNA, 496 nt
Filed under: uncultured bacterium
Lineage: Bacteria
Description: partial 16S ribosomal RNA
Rfam family: Bacterial small subunit ribosomal RNA
Source: RNAcentral
GAUGAACGCUGGCGGCGUGCCUAAUACAUGCAAGUCGAGCGAACAGACGAGGAGCUUGCUCCUCUGACGUUAGCGGCGGACGGGUGAGUAACACGUGGAUAACCUACCUAUAAGACUGGGAUAACUUCGGGAAACCGGAGCUAAUACCGGAUAUAUAUUGAACCGCAUGGUUCAAUAGUGAAAGACGGUUUUGCUGUCACUUAUAGAUGGAUCCGCGCCGCAUUAGCUAGUUGGUAAGGUAACGGCUUACCAAGGCAACGAUGCGUAGCCGACCUGAGAGGGUGAUCGGCCACACUGGAACUGAGACACGGUCCAGACUCCUACGGGAGGCAGCAGUAGGGAAUCUUCCGCAAUGGGCGAAAGCCUGACGGAGUAACGCCGCGUGAGUGAUGAAGGUCUUCGGAUCGUAAAACUCUGUUAUUAGGGAAGAACAAAUGUGUAAGUAACUAUGCACGUCUUGACGGUACCUAAUCAGAAAGCCACGGCUAACUACGUG